Molecule: ribosomal RNA, 305 nt
Filed under: uncultured bacterium
Lineage: Bacteria
Description: bacterial SSU rRNA
Rfam family: Bacterial small subunit ribosomal RNA
Source: RNAcentral
CGGUUCCUACGGGGGGCAGCAGUGGGGAAUAUUGCACAAUGGGGGAAACCCUGAUGCAGCGACGCCGCGUGAGUGAAGAAGUAUCUCGGUAUGUAAAGCUCUAUCAGCAGGAAAGAUAAUGACGGUACCUGACUAAGAAGCCCCGGCUAACUACGUGCCAGCAGCCGCGGUAAUACGUAGGGGGCAAGCGUUAUCCGGAUUUACUGGGUGUAAAGGGAGCGUAGACGGCCAGACAAGUCAGAAGUGAAAGCCCAGGGCUCAACUCUGGGACUGCUUUUGAAACUGCCGGGCUGGAGUGCAGGAGG